This 85-nucleotide transfer RNA is filed under the name Planotetraspora kaengkrachanensis. Its description in RNAcentral is "tRNA-Ala". The record is from RNAcentral. Lineage: Bacteria; Bacillati; Actinomycetota; Actinomycetes; Streptosporangiales; Streptosporangiaceae.
UCAUGGGGUCGAUCAGCGAUCCCCCGGUGGCGACGGCGCGGAUCGCCCGGCCGAGCAGCCCCGCGUCCGACACGCGGUCCUUGAG